UGGGGAAUUUUGGACAAUGGGGGAAACCCUGAUCCAGCCAUCCCGCGUGUGCGAUGAAGGCCUUCGGGUUGUAAAGCACUUUUGGCAGGAAAGAAACGUCAUGGGUUAAUACCCCGUGAAACUGACGGUACCUGCAGAAUAAGCACCGGCUAACUACGUGCCAGCAGCCGCGGUAAUACGUAGGGUGCAAGCGUUAAUCGGAAUUACUGGGCGUAAAGCGUGCGCAGGCGGUUCGGAAAGAAAGAUGUGAAAUCCCAGAGCUCAACUUUGGAACUGCAUUUUUAACUACCGGGCUAGAGUGUGUCAGAGGGAGGUGGAAUUCUGCGUGUAGCAGUGAAAUGCGUAGAUAUGCGGAGGAACACCGAUGGCGAAGGCAGCCUCCUGGGAUAACACUGACGCUCAUGCACGAAAGCGUGGGGAGCAAACAGG
RNAcentral lists this ribosomal RNA (429 nucleotides) under Acidobacteriota bacterium. RNAcentral's name for it is "Acidobacteria bacterium partial 16S ribosomal RNA". It matches the Rfam family "Bacterial small subunit ribosomal RNA", at positions 355 to 776 of the family's 1533-position model. Lineage: Bacteria; Pseudomonadati; Acidobacteriota. The record is from RNAcentral.